This 369-nucleotide ribosomal RNA is filed under the name Rhizophagus sp. (in: glomeromycetes). Its description in RNAcentral is "LSU rRNA". Lineage: Eukaryota; Fungi; Glomeromycota; Glomeromycetes; Glomerales; Glomeraceae. The record is from RNAcentral.
AAACGAUUGAAGUCAGUCGUACCGGUGGGUAAUCAGCCAUUCGGGUGUGAUUAUGUUGGUAAUGGGAAGAUCCCACGCUCGCAUAUUCAUGCCUCAUUGGUGUACUUACUCGCAUGGUAGGUUAACAUCAAUUCUGGUCGUCAUAAAAUGAUGAGAGGAAUGUAGUUUCGAUCUCGCAUUGAAGUGUUAUAGCCUUUUGUAAAUGUAGUGACCGGGAUUGAGGAUUGCAACGAACUCUUCGGGGCUACUCGUCUGAUCUCUGGUAGUUACUUUGGUGCUGAAAGCAUGCUUAUGGUUAUCAAAGUUGAUUGCUAAAAGGUUAGAGCGGGAUAAAUUUGUUAAGGAUGUUGACGUAAUGGCUUUAAACGA